Molecule: ribosomal RNA, 1431 nt
Filed under: uncultured organism
Description: SSU rRNA
Rfam family: Bacterial small subunit ribosomal RNA
Source: RNAcentral
CUCAGAACGAACGCUGGCGGCGUGGAUAAGACAUGCAAGUCGAACGGGAGAAUUGCUAGCUUGCUAAUAAUUCUCUAGUGGCGCACGGGUGAGUAACACGUGAGUAACCUGCCUCUUAGUGGGGGAUAGCCCUGGGAAACCGGGAUUAAUACCGCAUACGAUUGAAAGAUCAAAGCAGCAAUGCGCUAGGAGAUGGGCUCGCGGCCUAUUAGUUAGUUGGUGAGGUAACGGCUCACCAAGGCGAUGACGGGUAGCCGGUCUGAGAGGAUGUCCGGCCACACUGGAACUGAGACACGGUCCAGACACCUACGGGUGGCAGCAGUCGAGAAUCAUUCACAAUGGGGGCAACCCUGAUGGUGCGACGCCGCGUGGGGGAAUGAAGGUCUUCGGAUUGUAAACCCCUGUCAUGUGGGAGCAAAUUAAAAAGAUAGUACCACAAGAGGAAGAGACGGCUAACUCUGUGCCAGCAGCCGCGGUAAUACAGAGGUCUCAAGCGUUGUUCGGAAUCACUGGGCGUAAAGCGUGCGUAGGCUGUUUCGUAAGUCGUGUGUGAAAGGCAGGGGCUCAACCCCUGGAUUGCACAUGAUACUGCGAGACUAGAGUAAUGGAGGGGGAACCGGAAUUCUCGGUGUAGCAGUGAAAUGCGUAGAUAUCGAGAGGAACACUCGUGGCGAAGGCGGGUUCCUGGACAUUAACUGACGCUGAGGCACGAAGGCCAGGGGAGCGAAAGGGAUUAGAUACCCCUGUAGUCCUGGCAGUAAACGGUGCACGCUUGGUGUGCGGGGAAUCGACCCCCUGCGUGCCGGAGCUAACGCGUUAAGCGUGCCGCCUGGGGAGUACGGUCGCAAGAUUAAAACUCAAAGAAAUUGACGGGGACCCGCACAAGCGGUGGAGUAUGUGGCUUAAUUCGAUGCAACGCGAAGAACCUUACCUGGGCUUGACAUGUAAUGAACAACAUGUGAAAGCAUGCGACUCUUCGGAGGCGUUACACAGGUGCUGCAUGGCCGUCGUCAGCUCGUGUCGUGAGAUGUUUGGUUAAGUCCAGCAACGAGCGCAACCCCUGUUGCCAGUUACCAGCACGUCAAGGUGGGGACUCUGGCGAGACUGCCCAGAUCAACUGGGAGGAAGGUGGGGACGACGUCAGGUCAGUAUGGCCCUUAUGCCCAGGGCUGCACACGUACUACAAUGCCCAGUACAGAGGGGGCCGAAGCCGCGAGGCGGAGGAAAUCCUGAAAACUGGGCCCAGUUCGGACUGUAGGCUGCAACCCGCCUACACGAAGCCGGAAUCGCUAGUAAUGGCGCAUCAGCUACGGCGCCGUGAAUACGUUCCCGGGUCUUGUACACACCGCCCGUCACAUCAUGGAAGCCGGUCGCACCCGAAGUAUCUGAAGCCAACCGCAAGGAGGCAGGGUCCUAAGGUGAGACUGGUAA